UACGGAGGGUGCAAGCGUUAUCCGGAUUCACUGGGCUUAAAGGGUGCGUAGGCGGCUAGGUAAGUCCGUGGUGAAAUCCUGCAGCUUAACUGCAGAACUGCCGUGGAUACUCUCUAUCUUGAAUAUCGUGGAGGUUAGCGGAAUAUGUCAUGUAGCGGUGAAAUGCUUAGAUAUGACAUAGAACACCCAUUGCGAAGGCAGCUAACUGCGCGAUCAUUGACGCUGAUGCACGAAAGCGUGGGGAUCAAACAGG
RNAcentral lists this ribosomal RNA (253 nucleotides) under uncultured bacterium. RNAcentral's name for it is "partial 16S ribosomal RNA". It matches the Rfam family "Bacterial small subunit ribosomal RNA", at positions 524 to 776 of the family's 1533-position model. The record is from RNAcentral.